Molecule: unclassified non-coding RNA, 304 nt
Filed under: Hevea brasiliensis (rubber tree)
Lineage: Eukaryota; Viridiplantae; Streptophyta; Magnoliopsida; Malpighiales; Euphorbiaceae
Source: RNAcentral
GGCAGCCUUGUCUCAUUUCAAAUGUCCGUAACUACAUUGCUAACAGUUCUCUUCUUAUAGUGUCUGAAGUCUGAACUGACUUCUGAUGCGAAAGUUAAAUGGUUUACCAAAUUGGAAGAUUAGAUAACCAGAAAGGCAUGUUUACAUAGUUCUGACUCAGAAUUCAAAGGACUGGUUUUGUUUGGUUCUAAGCCAUUCCAAAAGUAUGCCAACAGAUACUGAUCAUAACGUCCAUACAAAAAACAGACUUCUUAAUACAAGGUAAAACAAAAUUAAGCAAACAUUUUUAGCUUAUAAAGAAUAA